Molecule: RNA transcript, 1321 nt
Organism: Trifolium pratense (red clover)
Lineage: Eukaryota; Viridiplantae; Streptophyta; Magnoliopsida; Fabales; Fabaceae
Gene name: E3 ubiquitin-protein ligase BIG BROTHER-like
Exons: 3
Source: RefSeq, a predicted model, not a curated record
AGUUUUGUAUGACUAAUGGUUUUGUUGUUAGUUAGGGUGAACUUGAAGUUAUUUUUCUUGUAUUGGUAAUAUGAUUAGUCCUCUUUAAAUCUAGUCCUUUACAUCAUAAAAGUGAAGAUGAAGAGUAAUAAACUUAAAUGCUUUUGAACCUGGUGCUGAUUUGUGAUGAAGAGUAAACUACUGGACCUGGGGGAAGCAGUUGGAACUCAAAGCCGAAGUCUUCCUCAAGAACUUAUUGAUACGCUUCCAACCUCAAAGUACAAAUUUGGCAACUUAUUCAAAAGAAAAAAUUAUGGGAAAAGGUGUGUAGUUUUCCAUAUGACAUAUAGAUGAGGUGACCAGCAAAUGAAAUUGCCAUGCAGUUAUGUUUAUCAUGGUGAAUGCAUUACAAAUGGCUUAGCAUUAACAAGAAAUGUCCUGUUUGCAACAUUGAUGUUUUCGGUGAGGAAUCUUUUCACAUGAUACAUGUUUUGUCUGAUAGAAACAAGUUAACAACCUAACAGUGGUUAAUGUGUGAUAUUCUCUUAGUUUUGUGUCUCUACUCCCUUUGGUUACAAAGAUGAUACAUAUGGUGUUGUGACAUUUGGCAAUGAAAAAGCUUAUGAGCAUGAAUUUUAAAAUGAAAUAUGUAUGGGAGAGGGUUGAUUUGAGUGUUUGUUAUCAACUGUCCUAUGAUAUCUAGAGUCUAACUUUGGCAUCUGUCACUCCAUGGUGCUUCUUUUCAUAUACAACUUGGCACCCCUAAGUUUUUUGUUCACCGAUUAUAGAUAUCCAACUUAUAUGUCAAGUGUUUUUUUUUUUUUUAUAAAUAAAUGCUAAGUGUUGAUAAUGGCCUUUUGGCUCUGUUGUAUAUUUGAUCUUGUUCAUAUAUAAUUGAUUAUAACCUCUUGGCUUUUUUGUUUAUUUGAUCUUGUUCAUAUAUAAUUGAUCCUUGCCUCAAAAGGUAAAAUUCGUCAUUAAUAUUCUGGUUUUUCAUUUUCUAGUAAAUGAUAGGAGGAACUUUAAUUUCCACUACGUUGUGUUGAUUAUUUUUCUACAUAAGCUUUGUUUUUCUAUAUUUUUUGAACUGGUUUUUUCAGGGGAUAAUUUUGACCAAUCUACUUCAAAAUCUAAUGACAAGAAUUCAUGUGCCAGAAACAAGGUCAGUGAUUUUAAGUUUUGUUUCUAGUCAAGGUUAUUUUUGUAAAAUUUUUGUAAAAAAUAACCUAGAAUUCCUAGCAGUCCCAUUCCCUACUCUCGCGAUUAUAAUUCUCAAACCUUCUUUUCACUUCAUUAGACUAGUUAUGACUCUUACCAAGCAAGAUGGGCUGCCUAAAUGUUC